Molecule: ribosomal RNA, 777 nt
Filed under: uncultured Neocallimastigales
Lineage: Eukaryota; Fungi; Neocallimastigomycota; Neocallimastigomycetes; Neocallimastigales
Description: partial large subunit ribosomal RNA
Rfam family: Eukaryotic large subunit ribosomal RNA
Source: RNAcentral
GUAGUCUCGCACAGAUGCAUAUCAAUAAGCGGAGGAAAAGAAACUAACAAGGAUUCCCUUAGUAACGGCGAGUGAAGCGGGAAGAGCUCAAAUUUGAAAUCUUCAAGGUUUUACCUUGACGAAUUGUAGUUUAAAGAAGUGUUUUCUGUUGAAGUUUUGGUAAAAGUUCUUUGGAAUAGGACAUCAUAGAGGGUGAGAAUCCCGUAUUUGACCAUUAUUUUCAGCUGUGUGAUACACUUUCAAAGAGUCGGAUUGUUUGGGAAUGCAGUCCAAAAUGGGUGGUAAAUUUCAUCUAAAGCUAAAUAUUGGCGAGAGACCGAUAGCGAACAAGUACCGUGAGGGAAAGAUGAAAAGAACUUUGAAAAGAGAGUUAAACAGUACGUGAAAUUGUCAAAAGGGAAGCGUUUGACACCAGUGUUGUUUUUCUGAAAAUCAAUUAAAGAACUGUUUAUGCUAAGUUGUUUAGACUUUAUCAGCUAACUGUUUAGUUUUGAGCUUUUCUUUAAUGCACUUUUCAGUUUAACAAGUCAACAUCAAUUUCCUUUGCUGUAAAAAAGCUUGAGGAAGGUGGCUUGAGAUUCGUCUUAAGUGUUUAUAGCCUCUUGCCUAUGCAAGUCGGAGAGAUUGAGGUCUGCAGCGUAGAUCCUUCGGGGCUAGAUAGCAUUUGUGCUAAGUUAUAGCAUUUUAUAGACAACUUGUUGACUAUGAUUUGUCUUGUAGCUUACUCGCUUAUGUUAUUUUACCUACGCUUAGGAUGUUGAGCGCAUGUCUCUCUCU